UGUUCUUCCUUGUUCUUCAUGGACUUGUGAAGUGAAUCCUCUGGGUUCCCCUACUUCGUGCUCUACGGCUUCCGUUCGGCUGCGCCGUAUUGUGCCGAUUAUUUCCGGAUUAUGGUUCUGCGGUCGUUCGGAGAUCGAGUCGAAGUCUUCAUGGUUUCGGUGCCUCUCUCCGCGUCGCUUGGUCGCUUCCAACCUUUGUCAGGUAUAAAGCUAGUUACCCGCUGUUCGCAGCAAGUUAGCCUUGUUCUUUUGAUCUACUGUCAUGAAGAUCGGGCCACCCUCUUACCGAUUCAAAUUGGUAGCCUAUCAACUGGUAUCAAAGCUUUCGUUGUCACGGUAGGUCUCACAAUCAUCCACAUAUCUGCCUUUAGUUUAUGUAUCGUUUGCUACUGUUUUGUUCAUCACCUAUAGUCCACUAAAAAAGCCACAGAAAAAAAUCUAUUGCCCUUUGACGGUACUGUUAUCUUGUGUUUUGUGUUCAUCAAGUUGCUAGUCACCAUCUUUACAUAUUUUGUAUCGUGUUUCAUUUGUAUCCUCACCCCUGUUAGUAUAAAAAAAGAGUUAAAAGAAUCAUAGAAAAAAAAGUUUAGGAAAAAAAUAGGGAUAGAAAGCUUUUCCAAAAGAAAAGUAAAAGAAGAGGAAAAGGGUUAUAUUGCAGUUUGCACACUGAAAAUUUAGUUUACACAUUCAGAUUCUUGGUGAUUUAUAUACCAGCAACAUUACAUCUUGUGAGCACAUCAAAUCACUUGUUUUUCAGUACCGUAGCCUCCCUUGUUUAGCCACAUAUAGCUCCACCC
This 797-nucleotide long non-coding RNA is filed under the name Sorghum bicolor (sorghum). Its description in RNAcentral is "long non-coding RNA (SBIC_LNC006535)". Lineage: Eukaryota; Viridiplantae; Streptophyta; Magnoliopsida; Poales; Poaceae. The record is from RNAcentral.